RNAcentral lists this ribosomal RNA (497 nucleotides) under uncultured bacterium. RNAcentral's name for it is "partial 16S ribosomal RNA". It matches the Rfam family "Bacterial small subunit ribosomal RNA", at positions 28 to 507 of the family's 1533-position model. The record is from RNAcentral.
GAUGAACGCUGGCGGCGUGCCUAAUACAUGCAAGUCGAGCGAACAGAUGAGGAGCUUGCUCCUCUGACGUUAGCGGCGGACGGGUGAGUAACACGUGGAUAACCUACCUAUAAGACUGGGAUAACUUCGUGAAACCGGAGCUAAUACCGGAUAAUAUAUUGAACCGCAUGGUUCAAUAGUGAAAGACGGUUUUGCUGUCACUUAUAGAUGGAUCCGCGCCGCAUUAGCUAGUUGGUAAGGUAACGGCUUACCAAGGCAACGAUGCGUAGCCGACCUGAGAGGGUGAUCGGCCACACUGGAACUGAGACACGGUCCAGACUCCUACGGGAGGCAGCAGUUGGAAAUCUUCCGCAAUAGGCGUAAGCCUGACAGAGCAACGCCGCGUGAGUGAUGAGGGUCUUCGGAUCGUAAAACUCUGUUAUUAGAGAAGAACAAAUGUAUAAGUAACUAUGCACGUCUUGACGGUACCUAAUCAGAAAGCCACGGCUAACUACGUG